UGACUGCGAAGUAGUAGAACAGAAUCUAGUCAGGGUAGGCUUGAGUAAACAAAUAUGUUUUAAGCCUAGACUUAAACACUGAGACUGUGUCUGAGUCCCGAACACUAAUAGGAAGACUGUUCCAUAACUGUGGGGCUCUAUAAGAGAAAGCUCUUCCCCCUGCUGUAGCCUUCACUAUUCGAGGUACCGUCAGAUAGCCUGCAUCUUUUGAUCUAAGUAGGCGUGGCGGAUCAUAUAAAACCAAAAGGUCGCUUAGAUAUUGUGGCGCGAGACCGUUUAGUGCUUUAUAGGUUAAUAAAAGUAUUUUAUAAUUAAUGCGAGAUUUCACUGGGAGCCAAUGCAGUAUCGAUAAUAUCGGUGUGAUAUGGUCGUAUCUUCUAGUUCUAGUUAGGACUCUAGCAGCUGCAUUCUGGACUAACUGGAGCUUAUUUAUAUUCCUACUGGAACAUCCAGACAGUACGGCAUUACAGUAAUCUAAUCUAGAGGUGACGAAAGCAUGAACUAGUAUUUCCGCAUCAUGUAGUGACAAUAUGUUUCUUAUUUUAGAAAUAUUUCUGAGAUGAAAGAAGGCUAUCCUAGUAAUAUUAUCUACAUGAGCAUCAAAUGAUAGACUGGAGUCAAUAAUCACUCCAAG
Molecule: long non-coding RNA, 634 nt
Organism: Ictalurus punctatus (channel catfish)
Lineage: Eukaryota; Metazoa; Chordata; Actinopteri; Siluriformes; Ictaluridae
Source: Ensembl